RNAcentral lists this ribosomal RNA (406 nucleotides) under uncultured bacterium. RNAcentral's name for it is "partial 16S ribosomal RNA". It matches the Rfam family "Bacterial small subunit ribosomal RNA", at positions 30 to 526 of the family's 1533-position model. The record is from RNAcentral.
AUUGAACGCUGGCGGCAGGCCUAACACAUGCAAGUCGAACGAGUGGAGGACGGGAGAGAAAUGUCUGGGAAACUGCCCGAUGGAGGGGGAUAACUACUGGAAACGGUAGCUAAUACCGCAUACCAUCGGAUGUGCCCAGUUGGGAUUAGCUAGUAGGUGAGGGAACGGCUCACCUAGGCGACGAUCCCUCGCUGGUCUGACAGGAUGACCAGCCACACUGGCACUGCGACACGGCCCCGACUCCGGCGGGAGGCAGCAUUGGGGAAUAUUGCGCAUUGGGCGCAAGCCUGAUGCAGCCAUGCCGCGUGUAUGAAGAAGGCCUUCGGGUUGUAAAGUACUUUCAGCGAGGGGGCGUUACUCGGAGAAGAAGCACCGGCUAACUCCGUGCCAGCAGCCGCGGUAAUAG